UGGGGAAUAUUGCGCAAUGGGCGAAAGCCUGACGCAGCCACGCCGCGUGAGCGAUGAAGGUCUUCGGAUCGUAAAGCUCUGUGGAGGGAGAAGAAUCAAGCCGGUGAAGAGCCGGCCCUGACGGUAUCCCUUUAGCAAGCACCGGCUAACUCCGUGCCAGCAGCCGCGGUAAUACGGAGGGUGCAAACGUUGCUCGGAAUCAUUGGGCGUAAAGCGCGCGUAGGCGGCCUUGCAAGUUGGAUGUGAAAGCCCAGGGCUCAACCCUGGAAGUGCAUCCAAAACUGCUUGGCUUGAGUGCCGGAGGGGCUCAGAGAAUUCCCGGUGUAGAGGUGAAAUUCGUAGAUAUCGGGAGGAAUACCAGUGGCGAAGGCGCUGGGCUGGACGGUUACUGACGCUGAGGUGCGAAAGCGUGGGGAGCAAACAGGAUUAGAUACCCCCGUAGUCC
Molecule: ribosomal RNA, 445 nt
Filed under: uncultured prokaryote
Description: bacterial SSU rRNA
Rfam family: Bacterial small subunit ribosomal RNA
Source: RNAcentral